UUAACAUCUGUCCCACUCUUGUCCC
Molecule: non-coding RNA, 25 nt
Filed under: Rattus norvegicus (Norway rat)
Lineage: Eukaryota; Metazoa; Chordata; Mammalia; Rodentia; Muridae
Source: RNAcentral